CAAAGGUAGCAUAAUCAUUAGUCUUUUAAUUGGAGGCUGGAAUGAAUGGUUUGACGAAACAAUAACUGUCUCGGGAUAAUAAAUUGAAUUUUAUUUUUGAGUNAAAAAGCUUAAAUGAUAACAGGGGACGAGAAGACCCUAUAGAUCUUAAUAUUGUUAUAUUAAAAUAUGUGUUUAGGGGUAUUUGAUAUAUUUUAUUAUGUAAUGUUUUGUUGGGGUGACAAGGGAAUAAUUUAACUUCUUUAUAAUUUACUGAGAUGG
This 261-nucleotide ribosomal RNA is filed under the name Gryllus texensis. RNAcentral's name for it is "partial 16S ribosomal RNA". The record is from RNAcentral. Lineage: Eukaryota; Metazoa; Arthropoda; Insecta; Orthoptera; Gryllidae.